RNAcentral lists this ribosomal RNA (1492 nucleotides) under uncultured rumen bacterium. RNAcentral describes it as "bacterial SSU rRNA". It matches the Rfam family "Bacterial small subunit ribosomal RNA". The record is from RNAcentral.
AGAGUUUGAUCAUGGCUCAGGAUGAACGCUGGCGGCGUGCUUAACACAUGCAAGUCGAACGGAGUAUUGAGAAUGAAGUUUUCGGAUGGAUUUCUUAAUACUUAGUGGCGGACGGGUGAGUAACGCGUGGGUAACCUGCCUCACACAGGGGGAUAACAGUUGGAAACGACUGUUAAUACCGCAUAAGACCACAGUACCGCAUGGUACAGGGGUAAAAACUCCGGUGGUGUGAGAUGGACCCGCGUCUGAUUAGUUAGUUGGCGGGGUAACGGCCCACCAAGACGACGAUCAGUAGCCGAUCUGAGAGGAUGACCGGCCACAUUGGGACUGAGACACGGCCCAAACUCCUACGGGAGGCAGCAGUGGGGAAUAUUGCACCACUCGGGGAAACCCUGAUGCAGCGACGCCGCGUGAGUGAAGAAGUAUUUCGGUAUGUAAAGCUCUAUCAGCAGGGAAGAAAAUGACGGUACCUGAGUAAGAAGCCCCGGCUAACUACGUGCCAGCAGCCGCGGUAAUACGUAGGGGGCAAGCGUUAUCCGGAUUUACUGGGUGUAAAGGGAGCGCAGACGGCGCAGCAAGUCUGAAGUGAAAGCCCGGGGCUUAACCCCGGGACUGCUUUGGAAACUGCUGUGCUUGAGUAUCGGAGGGGCAGGCGGAAUUCCCAGUGUAGCGGUGAAAUGCGUAGAUAUKGGGAAGAACACCAGUGGCGAMGSSGSCUGCUGGACGAUAACUGACGUUGAGGCUCGAAGGCGUGGGGAGCAAACAGGAUUAGAUACCCUGGUAGUCMMSSSGUAAACGAUGAAUACUAGGUGUUGGCAUCCAAAGGAUGUCGGUGCCGCGCAAACGCAUUAAGUAUUCCACCUGGGGAGUACGUUCGCAAGAAUGAAACUCAAAGGAAUUGACGGGGACCCGCACAAGCAGUGGAGCAUGUGGUUUAAUUCGAAGCAACGCGAAGAACCUUACCAGGUCUUGACAUGGAGAUGACCGGCUGGUAACGCAGCCUUUCCUUCGGGACAUCUCACACAGGUGGUGCAUGGUUGUCGUCAGCUCGUGUCGUGAGAUGUUGGGUUAAGUCCCGCAACGAGCGCAGCGCGUAUUGCCAGUAGCCAGCAGGUGAAGCUGGGCACUCUGGCGAGACUGCCCGGGAUAACCGGGAGGAAGGUGGGGAUGACGUCAAAUCAUCAUGCCCCUUAUGAUCUGGGCAACACACGUGCUACAAUGGCGUAAACAGAGAGAAGCGAACCUGCGAGGGGGAGCAAAUCUUCAAAUAACGUCUCAGUUCGGACUGUAGUCUGCAACCCGACUACACGAAGCUGGAAUUGCUAGUAAUCGCGAAUCAGCAUGUCGCGGUGAAUACGUUCCCGGGUCUUGUACACACCGCCCGUCACACCAUGGGAGUCAGCAACGCCCGAAGUCAGUGACCCAACCAAUCGGAGGGAGCUGCCGAAGGCGGGGCGGAUAACUGGGGUGAAGUCGUAACAAGGUAACCGUA